UCGGGUGGCACAUUGAUAGUAAAUUUAAAAUAUCAGAACAGCAAAUAGAAAUAGUAUAAUGCCCCCGGGGUCAUAUGUUUAUAGGACUACGUUCUAGAGUAGUAUGCCGAUGACAACUUUCUGGUUUAAAAGACGUGACAACCCAUCAUUUCUUUUUUUUACUUUGACAAUAUCACAUUUAACAUUCUCUUUCUAGAAAUA
RNAcentral lists this long non-coding RNA (201 nucleotides) under Mytilus galloprovincialis (Mediterranean mussel). Lineage: Eukaryota; Metazoa; Mollusca; Bivalvia; Mytilida; Mytilidae. The record is from RNAcentral.